UCGUUGAGAAGGCUCACGAGCAGGCUCGUUAAAUAGGCUCGUGAGUAAUAUUGUUUAAAUAAAUUGGUAAACCAAUUCGUUAAAUAAAUUUAUGAACAAGUUCAUAUAUUAUUAAAAAAAUAAAAAUAACUAUAAAGUUAUAAAAUUUAAACUAUUAUAAAUACUUGAAAAUUAUAGUAUUGAAAAUUACAAAUAAUUAAGAUUAAUUAUUAUAAUUAAUAUUCUUUAAAAUUAAAUUAUAAAAAUCUUUUGUAUAUAAUUAUUAUAAUAAGAUUUCAUAAAAUUAAUGUAUAAUCACAAAUAAUUAAUAUUAAUUAUUAUAAUAAG
RNAcentral lists this long non-coding RNA (327 nucleotides) under Manihot esculenta (cassava). Its description in RNAcentral is "long non-coding RNA (MESC_LNC009836)". Lineage: Eukaryota; Viridiplantae; Streptophyta; Magnoliopsida; Malpighiales; Euphorbiaceae. The record is from RNAcentral.